AGAGUUUGAUCCUGGCUCAGGAUGAACGCUAGCUACAGGCUUAACACAUGCAAGUCGAGGGGCAGCAUGAAACUUAGCUUGCUAAGUUUGAUGGCGACUGGCGCACGGGUGAGUAACACGUAUCCAACCUACCGUUUACUACGGGAUAGCCUUCUGAAAAGGAGAUUAAUACCGUAUGGUAUUCUAAAGUUUCAUGACAUUAGAAUUAAAGGUUUACCGGUAAUCGAUGGGGAUGCGUUCCAUUAGAUAGUAGGCGGGGUAACGGCCCACCUAGUCAGCGAUGGAUAGGGGUUCUGAGAGGAAGGUCCCCCACAUUGGAACUGAGACACGGUCCAAACUCCUACGGGAGGCAGCAGUGAGGAAUAUUGGUCAAUGGGCGAGAGCCUGAACCAGCCAAGUAAGCGUGAAGGAUGACUGCCCUAUGGGUUGUAAACUUCUUUUAUAAAGGAAUAAAGUGGUCCACGUGUGGAUUUUUGUAUGUACUUUAUGAAUAAGGAUCGGCUAACUCCGUGCCAGCCGCAGC
RNAcentral lists this ribosomal RNA (523 nucleotides) under uncultured bacterium. RNAcentral describes it as "bacterial SSU rRNA". It matches the Rfam family "Bacterial small subunit ribosomal RNA", at positions 8 to 518 of the family's 1533-position model. The record is from RNAcentral.